UACGAAGGGGGCUAGCGUUGCUCGGAUUGACUGGGCGUAAAGGGCGCGUAGGCGGUUCGUACAGUCAGACGUGAAAUUCCUGGGCUCAACCUGGGGGCUGCGUUUGAUACGUGCGGGCUUGAGUGCGGAAGAGGGUCGCGGAAUUCCCAGUAUAGAGGUGAAAUUCGUAGAUAUUGGGAAGAACACCGGUGGCGAAGGCGGCGACCUGGUCCGAUACUGACGCUGAGGCGCGAAAGCGUGGGGAGCAAACAGG
Molecule: ribosomal RNA, 253 nt
Filed under: uncultured bacterium
Lineage: Bacteria
Description: partial 16S ribosomal RNA
Rfam family: Bacterial small subunit ribosomal RNA
Source: RNAcentral